CAGUAGCCGCGGUAAUACGGAGGGAGCUAGCGUUGUUCGGAAUUACUGGGCGUAAAGCGCGCGUAGGCGGUUACUCAAGUCAGAGGUGAAAGCCCGGGGCUCAACCCCGGAACUGCCUUUGAAACUAGGUGACUAGAAUCUUGGAGAGGUCAGUGGAAUUCCGAGUGUAGAGGUGAAAUUCGUAGAUAUUCGGAAGAACACCAGUGGCGAAGGCGACUGACUGGACAAGUAUUGACGCUGAGGUGCGAAAGCGUGGGGAGCAAACAGGAUUAGAGACCCCUGUAGUUCCUGUCUCUUAUAC
RNAcentral lists this ribosomal RNA (301 nucleotides) under uncultured bacterium. Its description in RNAcentral is "partial 16S ribosomal RNA". It matches the Rfam family "Bacterial small subunit ribosomal RNA", at positions 509 to 807 of the family's 1533-position model. The record is from RNAcentral.